UCUUUUCCCUUGAUAACUGCCCCUUCAGCAAUUGAAUAAUGCUGUUUGGCUUCUCAUUUGAGCAAGUGGGGCACAGGGCUAAAGACGGAGAGAAACGUACCCAGGACUGAAUGGUGUUAGUACAGCAGAUGCUCCGGUUACAAGCUGUACUGUGCUGUGGAGUGCUGGAUUCCGAAUGACACUGAUACUUUUGAAGGUUUUUGAUAUGUUGAUUCUCUAAAGACAAGAUUCAUAACAGGGAUCCCUGUUAGUAGGACUCACUCUAAGCUUAACUGAGUGAAUAUUUCAUGUAAGAUCCACUGAAAUCUAGGGAAAAAAAGAAUUCAAGCAGCAUUUCUUUUUAAAAAUGCAUUUAAUGAGAGAACUGUUAAGUCAAAAAUGUCUUGACAAAAGUAAAGCUGCAGUGCAGUGAGAAAAAAACAGGAACCCUUUCUUUACCAAGCUUCUCCCAUAAUCAGUAAAUUAGAACAGAUAACUGGGACUUCGUAUUUAUCAAGACGUUCUCCAAACUU
This 512-nucleotide long non-coding RNA is filed under the name Oryctolagus cuniculus (rabbit). RNAcentral describes it as "lncRNA (ENSOCUG00000034141.1)". Lineage: Eukaryota; Metazoa; Chordata; Mammalia; Lagomorpha; Leporidae. The record is from RNAcentral.